This 483-nucleotide ribosomal RNA is filed under the name uncultured bacterium. RNAcentral describes it as "partial 16S ribosomal RNA". It matches the Rfam family "Bacterial small subunit ribosomal RNA", at positions 29 to 506 of the family's 1533-position model. The record is from RNAcentral.
AUUGAACGCUGGCGGCAUGCUUUACACAUGCAAGUCGAACGGCAGCGCGGGCUUCGGCCUGGCGGCGAGUGGCGAACGGGUGAGUAAUGCAUCGGAACGUGCCCAGUAGUGGGGGAUAGCCCGGCGAAAGCCGGAUUAAUACCGCAUACGACCUGAGGGUGAAAGCGGGGGACCGAAAGGCCUCGCGCUAUUGGAGCGGCCGAUGUCGGAUUAGCUAGUUGGUGGGGUAAAGGCUUACCAAGGCGACGAUCCGUAGCUGGUCUGAGAAGACGACCAGCCACACUGGGACUGAGACACGGCCCAGACUCCUACGGGAGGCAGCAGUGGGGAAUUUUGGACAAUGGGGGCAACCCUGAUCCAGCCAUGCCGCGUGCGGGAAGAAGGCCUGCGGGUUGUAAACCGCUUUUGUUCGGGAAGAAAUCCUCUGGGCUAAUACCCCGGGGGGAUGACGGUACCGGAAGAAUAAGCACCGGCUAACUACGU